AUGAACGCUGGCGGCGUGCCUAAUACAUGCAAGUCGAGCGAACAGACGAGGAGCUUGCUCCUCUGACGUUAGCGGCGGACGGGUGAGUAACCCGUGGAUAACCUACCUAUAAGACUGGGAUAACUUCGGGAAACCGGAGCUAAUACCGGAUAAUAUAUUGAACCGCAUGGUUCAAUAGUGAAAGACGGUUUUGCUGUCACUUAUAGAUGGAUCCGCGCCGCAUUAGCUAGUUGGUAAGGUAACGGCUUACCAAGGCAACGAUGCGUAGCCGACCUGAGAGGGUGAUCGGCCACACUGGAACUGAGACACGGUCCAGACUCCUACGGGAGGCAGCAGUAGGGAAUCUUCCGCAAUGGGCGAAAGCCUGACGGAGCAACGCCGCGUGAGUGAUGAAGGUCUUCGGAUCGUAAAACUCUGUUAUUAGGGAAGAACAAAUGUGUAAGUAACUAUGCACGUCUUGACGGUACCUAAUCAGAAAGCCACGGCUAACUACGUG
RNAcentral lists this ribosomal RNA (496 nucleotides) under uncultured bacterium. RNAcentral's name for it is "partial 16S ribosomal RNA". It matches the Rfam family "Bacterial small subunit ribosomal RNA", at positions 29 to 507 of the family's 1533-position model. The record is from RNAcentral.